UGUUUGUUUUCUGAGCUAGUGUUCUCUUAUUUGAACAGGGAUUGAAGGGCAUACUGAUACAGUAGAUACAGUUUAAUAGACCCUUUCAAGUUUGUAAGAGGCAAGAAAAAUGAAAAGAUACUACUACUACUAGUAAUUAUUGUUUUAUAUUUAUUUGCAUUAACAUAAACAAAAGCAAAAUAUAGAAGUAACAAUCGGGUCGUAUGGUAAACGUAUGAUAAUAAUAUUACAAAACAUGCUGUGUGAAUGACCAAUUCAAGAUUUUUUUCUGAAUGUCUUUGAAAGGCGCCUGUUGAUUGACACGAUAAAAAUUAUAACAUUAGAACGUAAAAAUCAGUCUGAAAAUUGUAAAUGAACCCUUUAACAUGUUUAUGAUAAAUUAAAUUGUAUAAUCCAUUUCACACAAACAACAAAAGUUAAGACAAAGGUAUCCACAACUGUGCAUCCCUUCAUUGCAGCCUGCAGCUAUGAUCUGGUAAGUAUUAACAUUGACUUUGCAAAGCAGUAGUAGAAUUAUUUGUUUAUGGUAAAAAUUACUUCAUGGUGAAUUUUAAUUGUGGCAAUUAAAACAUGUUUUAGGGUACUAUGUCAGGGGCACAAAAUCAAAAUAUGUUCAGUACAUAGCAUGCUGAAGGAAGUAUAAUUACACAUUACAUAUUUUGGAAAAAUGGUAUUACAUAUAAAUGAAUAUUCAAGAAUAUGUUGUUAUGAUCAUGUCAAAAUAAUUUUUGAGGAACAAAAUUGGCCUAAGUAAAGUUACAAAUUUGAUCAAUUUUAAAUAGUCAUAAUUUGGUAAAAAAAAAAUGUGAACAAGUUGCAUAAAUAUUCCCUGAACUUUGUAACUAUACCCUAAAACAAUCUUCGUAGACGGGGUUCAAAAUAUUAAGUCAAAGUCUAGCUGUAAAACACAUACUAAAGGUCGGUUUGGUAGCAAUGGAUGUAUAAAUACACUGCCACAUCAAGUCAAAAUAGGGAUGCUAAAUCAAUGUCUGAUGAUGGAAUAUUGCCAUACUCUCUUCCUGUUUAAGACACUUGAAGGGUUCUGUAGGUCAUGGUGCUGACAUUUUAUUGUCACUCCGACAUUUUCCCCGAAAAAAUAUUACUCAUCAAAGAUACCAGGCUUGUAUAAUGUUAACUACACAUAAUGUUUCAUCUACAAAAAUACCCAUUAAUGACGUGCAAGUAAAACAAAUAUGAAAAGGCCAAAGAAACUAUGCAAUUGAAGAGCAUUGUGGAACCCAAAAUUCAAAAUGGUUUUGGCAAAUACAAAAAAGUAAUGUAUUCACACAAACCAUUCUUACUACAACUUAGCAAAACAUAAAAUCACCAAUUACUGAACUCCUAGGAAAAUUCAACACAGAAAGUCACUUAACAAAUGGCAAAAUCAAAAGCUUAAACAUCAAACCAACAGACAACAAUUGUCAUAUUCCAGACUGAGGGGGAGGACAGGGGGUACCCUUCUCCCUUCUCCCACCCCUCUUCUCCUUUCUCCUACCCCGGUUCUCCUUUCUCCCAUUAGAAUAAAACAUCUCCUUUUGAGAUAUUUUUUCUUGAAAUAUUAGAAAUUUUUUUAAAAGGAGAGAUAUUUUAUUUUUUCUCCUUUCUCCAACUUUUUCUCCUUUCUCCCAGCCUUCUUCUCCUUUCUCCCACCCCCUUUCUCCUUUCUCCUACCCCCUUUCUCCCCGUCUCCCUUACCCCUGUCCUCCCCCUCCAGGCAUUUUUUUUGUAGAAAAUUUUGAAAUAAACCCUACCUACUUACUGUAUUAAUCAUUUGUUAUUGACUGGAAUAUCUGUACCUAGCUGUUGGACAAUCCACUAUAAUAAAUGAAUAAUUAAUGUAAAGGAGCAAGAAUUCUUUCAAAAUCUGAUGUCUGAAGGCACUUUUUUAAAACCACAUUCAUUUAUAUUAUAAAAUGUCAAAAAUGGACCUGAAAAAUCAUCAAAAAAACAUUGAACAUACUACAGUAAUCAUGAGAAAUACCUUACAAAAAUAAAUUGAAACAUUGUUACCGUCUCCUUUUCUAAAUUUUGUUUGAUUUUGGAGGAAAAAUUGACUUUCCCUACCAAAGGAUUUUUUCUUUUAUUAACUCCAUAUUCCCUAUUACUUACGUCAACAUUUAGUGUAGGGAAAUCUGUUUCACUAAUGUUUGUUUUCUUAACUUUGAACAUUAAUAUAGCUGUUGUGAAACUGAUAACCAGAAUCUUUGCUUGCAACGUGUAAGGAAAAAUACUUCUUUAUUCAGCUGAUGGACCUACAACAUGAAAAAACAGGACACUUUAACACAGCAUUUUAUACCUUAUAAAACCUCCAACUUAACCUGCUUACCUCACAUGUUUUUGGACUGAUACAGCCCUAAUGACAGCUUGUAGGAAAAAUAAGGGUGAAUAUGGAUUAACAAUGUAUCAAACAUCUUUUUAAAUAUACAAGAGUAAAUGAAAACUGACAUUCUUAUUACAUAUAAAUGUACAUAAAUUAUAUUUAGAAUAAAUUUAUUUACCUAAUUACAGUAGUAAUGAUUAUUUUUCCAACUUGUACAUAAAUUUUAUGCACAACAAAUCAUAAUUAAAAAUCAAUUUUCUCUUUACUUUAAGGUUGGAUAACAUCAAGAUCAAGUUCAUUUACUUUUAAGAAAGUAAAGGUACACUGUACAGACUAGAUUUUCUCUGGACAAACAAUCCAUACAGACUUAUAUUUACAAAACAGUCAACAACAGCAUUGUAGACAUAAGACAUCUGUUUUGUGUUAACAAGUACAUUUAAUCUUAAAGCAUUUCUGUACAUCAAAAAUAAAAUAGGGAUAAAUAGGGACACACAUAUAGUUAUCAUGCCAGUGGACAUUUCAAAUAUCUAAUUUGUAAUUCAAGCGAUAUCUUAUCUAUCAUUCAGUCAGUUGCCCAAAAAAUAAUAAACAAUAAAUACUGCCAUUUUCAGAAAUCCUAUUAAGAGUUAUUGUUAAUUUUUCCUGACUUCAUCAGUACAAAUGGCAUGGAAUGUGAACUGAUAGAUAAAGCAUGAACAUUUUUUAAUUUGCUAGUUUAUAAAAUGUAUGAAAUUCAACUUGAAUGACUCAAAAGGGGAUAAGUCCAACAAAAAAUGCUAUCAUGUAUUUAUAUAUUCUAUAUUAAAAUGUCUACUUGUCACAUCCUCUACAUCAAAAUGUAUCUUUUAUAUAUGAUUAAACUCAUCAUAGAUAUCAGGAUUGAUUUUUUUAUUUCUGCCAGACAUGCCUUUGUCUACAGAUGAUUCAUCAGAUUAACUAUCACUCCUUAUUCAAAACUGAAAAGAAUGAUAUAAAAACAAUCUUUGCUAACUAAAAAAUAUAGAUAUAUUUUACUUUUUUGCAGAUAACUCAAACAUGGUAACUUAUUUUAUAUAAAGAAACUAGACAUUGCCUUUUCAGUACUUCUAAGGGUUAUCCAGUAAGAGUUGCAUGUUGUUCAACAAUGUAUAUAUAAGGUUUUUUUUAACUCUAGUAGAGUAGUUGAUAUUAAAUAGACCCCAUGAAUAUAACUAGGCUAGAGAUGAUGGUUUCAAAUGCAACAGCAUAUGGCAUUUAAAAAAUAUUUAUAAAGCCCACUAAAUCCAAAAACUUAAGUUUUAAAGGCAAUGGAAAAGGACCUUCAGAUAUUGCAUGCAUUUGCAAUGCAUAGACAGUGAUGCAAUUGUACACCAAAUUUCAACUAUGAUUAUAUGAAAUCAACAAUUUUUGGAAUGGACAUCAACAGCAAACUUAACAUUAAAACACUGUCACCAAAAAUAAAAUAAUCUGUUGUAUGUUGAAAGAAAAUUAUGAUUUUAUAAAAUAAGCAGCUAUCAACAUUAUAAUCACAAUCCUACAUAACAUAAUACCCAUUUCCAUAACAUUAUUAUUGGUAUGUAUACCACUGAAUUUGUAAAGCAUAUCAAUGUUACUUUUUUUGGUUAAAAUUUUUAAUUACAUUGUUAUUUACCUAACUUGCAAGUAUUUAUUUAGGAAAAAAAAAUCCACAUUUCAUUUUGACUAAAGUUAAAAAAAAAUUUCACAAUGUUUUUGUUAUUUUCUCCUUUACUAACAACAAUUAACAUGAAUAAUGCACUUAAAU
Molecule: long non-coding RNA, 4082 nt
Filed under: Mytilus galloprovincialis (Mediterranean mussel)
Lineage: Eukaryota; Metazoa; Mollusca; Bivalvia; Mytilida; Mytilidae
Source: RNAcentral